GUUUUAAUAGUUUAAUAAAAACUUUGGUCUUGUAAACCAAAAAUAAGAAAUUUUUCUUUUAAAACU
RNAcentral lists this transfer RNA (66 nucleotides) under Pseudolimnophila brunneinota. Its description in RNAcentral is "tRNA-Thr". It matches the Rfam family "tRNA". From Rfam's summary of the family: Transfer RNA (tRNA) molecules are approximately 80 nucleotides in length. Their secondary structure includes four short double-helical elements and three loops (D, anti-codon, and T loops). Lineage: Eukaryota; Metazoa; Arthropoda; Insecta; Diptera; Limoniidae. The record is from RNAcentral.